Molecule: long non-coding RNA, 928 nt
Organism: Cuculus canorus (common cuckoo)
Lineage: Eukaryota; Metazoa; Chordata; Aves; Cuculiformes; Cuculidae
Exons: 3
Source: RefSeq, a predicted model, not a curated record
CGUGGGGCUGGAAAGCACCUUCCCAUCCUAGCAGAGUCUAUAUUAGAGAGCGGCAAUAGCUCUAUAUAAACAGGGCAGCCGCGGGGAGGAGGAACACUAGGAGCGGGGAGGCAGGGAAGCCAUGAUGGAUCCCGGCGCCACAAACAAGGGGCCGAGCCCGCCCGGGACGCCGGCAUCGCCUCGGGGCGAGGGUCGCCGGGCAGCGGAGCCGCUUCGUGUGACUGCUUGUGCCAAACCUCCAUGCCAGAACUCUGCUACCGUUCUGCCUGCAUUGUGAACUGACAUGGACUUUUCCCAUUCCAUUCCCAUUUAAUAGAUGGAUCGAACAGUGGCUUUGGAUGCAGAAGUGGUGGGCAUGUCAUAUUCCACAUCUACAUAGUGGACAAAACUGGAAGGCACUUCCCGGUCAGAGCCAAGCUCUAGGUGACAGAAGAAGGAGUGAGGAUGCCCAGAAGCUGGAAAAAGAGAACAAACAGACAUGAAAGUUGAGUUCGAUAAGUCAGAAAAGACAUCUAGGAGGAAGCAACAUCACAAAACUGCAAGAGAAGCAGAAUCUGCCUGGGUGAAUUACUUCGUAGCAAGUGACAGUAUCUUACCUGAUUCAAUACCGUUACAGUUUCCAGAAGAAUUAAGCAAAACAAACUGCAAAAAGGACUGCCGAUCACUCUAGUUUGCUUUUAAUGGGUGAAAAUACCAGACAUAAAACAAGAACCAUAGGGUAAAGGUAUUCCCCCUCUUCUGCUCCCCCCUGGGUAUAUAAUGUGCUAAGUACAUUGUGGCACAUCCUUCUGAAAUGUCAUGUAUUGUCAGCAAGUAAAGGUGGGAUUUGGCAGACGUUUUACAUUUAUUUAAAAUCAUUAUCCCCAUUUUUAGCAAAUAAAAAUAUACUGGAAAAGGUUGAACAUCUUUUCUGGUUUCAAAAAGCAAA